RNAcentral lists this ribosomal RNA (440 nucleotides) under uncultured bacterium. Its description in RNAcentral is "partial 16S ribosomal RNA". It matches the Rfam family "Bacterial small subunit ribosomal RNA", at positions 338 to 795 of the family's 1533-position model. The record is from RNAcentral.
CCUACGGGGGGCAGCAGUGGGGGAUAUUGCACAAUGGGGGAAACCCUGAUGCAGCGACGCCGCGUGAGGGAAGACGGUCCUCUGGAGUGUAAACCACUGUCCCCAGGGACGAAGAUGAUGGUACCUGGGGAGGAAGCUCCGGCAAACAACGUGACAGCAGCCGCGGUAAUACGUGGGGAGGGGGUGUUCCCCGGAAUUACUGGGUUAAAGGGGAGCGGAGGGGGGGAUGAAAGUUGGGUGGCAAACCUACCGGCUCACCUGGUAGUCGCACUUCAAACUGCAGCUCUUGAGUGAAGUAGCGGCAGGCGGAAUUCCUAGUGUAGCGGUGAAAUGCGUAGAUAUUAGGAGGAACACCAGUGGCGAAGGCGGCCUGCUGGGCUUUUACUGACGCUGAGGCUCGAAAGUGUGGGGAGCAAACAGGAUUAGAUACCCCGGUAGUC